UUCAGAGUCAGGCCUAUCUCUUCUCCCCACAUCCAAAAAUGUAUGUCUUAUUCUGCAUCUUAAUCCAAUAAAUGUAAGGAGUGAAAGAGACUGUGUACAAAUCCAUCUCAAAGAAAUGAUCUGCCUGGAAGAGGAAUUUGAAAGGUGAUGGCAAUCAACUUGAACUCAGAAAAGCAUCAUCGUAUAGUUUUAAGGUUUCGCAGUGGAUAGAAGACUAGACCUAAAAUCAGAA
Non-coding RNA from Phascolarctos cinereus (koala), 232 nucleotides. The record is from RefSeq and is a predicted model, not a curated record. NCBI's taxonomy places the organism in Eukaryota, Metazoa, Chordata, Mammalia, Diprotodontia, Phascolarctidae.